UACGAAGGGGGCUAGCGUUGUUCGGAUUUACUGGGCGUAAAGCGCACGUAGGCGGAUCGUUAAGUCAGGGGUGAAAUCCUGGAGCUCAACUCCAGAACUGCCUUCGAUACUGGCGAUCUUGAGUCCGGAAGAGGUGAGUGGAACUCCUAGUGUAGAGGUGGAAUUCGUAGAUAUUAGGAAGAACACCAGUGGCGAAGGCGGCUCACUGGUCCGGUACUGACGCUGAGGUGCGAAAGCGUGGGGAGCAAACAGG
RNAcentral lists this ribosomal RNA (253 nucleotides) under uncultured bacterium. Its description in RNAcentral is "partial 16S ribosomal RNA". It matches the Rfam family "Bacterial small subunit ribosomal RNA", at positions 524 to 776 of the family's 1533-position model. The record is from RNAcentral.